UACGUAGGGUCAAAGCGUUGUUCGGAUUUACUGGGCGUAAAGGGCGCGUAGGCGGCGUGGUAAGUCACUUGUGAAAUCUCUGAGCUUAACUCAGAACGGUCAAGUGAUACUGCUGUGCUAGAGUGCGGAAGGGGCAAUCGGAAUUCUUGGUGUAGCGGUGAAAUGCGUAGAUAUCAAGAGGAACACCUGAGGUGAAGACGGGUUGCUGGGCCGACACUGACGCUGAUGCGCGAAAGCCAGGGGAGCAAACGGG
This 253-nucleotide ribosomal RNA is filed under the name uncultured bacterium. RNAcentral describes it as "partial 16S ribosomal RNA". It matches the Rfam family "Bacterial small subunit ribosomal RNA", at positions 524 to 776 of the family's 1533-position model. The record is from RNAcentral.